GUUGAUUGCAUCAGGUGGCUAAUGUUUCAAGCAUGUCCCAUCAGAGGAAAUGAUGAGUCUGAGGAUUCCAAGAACCAAGGUAAUUUCAAGGAAAUGAUUAAGCUUUUGGCGUCUUAUAACAAGGAUGUACAUGAAGUUGUACAGAAUGCUCCAAGAAAUGCAAAGUACACCUCAGCAACUAUUCAAAAGGAAAUUGCUAGCAUAUUUGCUGGAAAAGUGAAAACCUCAAUUAAAGAAGAACUUGGUAAUAGCAAAUUCUCUAUCUUGGUUGAUGAAUGUAGAGACGAGUCUAAAAAAGAGCAGAUGGCAGUAGUUCUUCGAUUUGCAAACAUAGAAGGGGUGAUAAGAGAACAUUUUCUUGAUCUU
This 366-nucleotide ribosomal RNA is filed under the name Triticum aestivum (bread wheat). RNAcentral describes it as "partial small subunit ribosomal RNA". Lineage: Eukaryota; Viridiplantae; Streptophyta; Magnoliopsida; Poales; Poaceae. The record is from RNAcentral.